GAAGCCACCCACGGCUGGCCAUGGGGAGAGGAGCCCCGUGAUGGCCAUGCAGAGGAGCAGCACGGAGCACAUGGAGAAGAGGGGCGAUCUGUUCCCGGUGCACAGACACAGCCAGAUUGAGUCCUCAUCCUUUAUUGUCAGACCCACGCGACCCCAAGGCCCUUCCAGUGUUUACAGGACAUUUCCCACUGAAGAGCUCUGAGGUUUGCGGAGACCCACGCUGCCCUUGCAGGGACGAGCAGAGAGACGCAGGGAACAGAGGCACAGGAGGACUGGGAUGCACGACCCAGGCAGAGCAGAGGUCAGGCCCAGGCCCCUCAGCAGACAGAGCCCUGGAUUCCAGUGGUCCUGGACAUGACCUGCGGUCUGUUUCCUCCGCUGACACAGGCCAUGAGGGCACUUGUGGACCACGCGUGCUGUUGGGCGCCCGCACGCGGCAGGUCUGAGCUGGGCAGUGACACGAGGGCCCGCACACGCUGCCUUUUGAACACUCAACACAAAAAACACAAGUAAAGUAGCUCAGUGAUGUUUAUAGUCAUUACAUGGUCGAAAGGAUAACAUUCGUGAUA
Long non-coding RNA from Neogale vison (American mink), 569 nucleotides. RefSeq lists it as uncharacterized. The transcript is spliced from 3 exons. Lineage: Eukaryota; Metazoa; Chordata; Mammalia; Carnivora; Mustelidae. The record is from RefSeq and is a predicted model, not a curated record.